RNAcentral lists this ribosomal RNA (205 nucleotides) under uncultured bacterium. RNAcentral's name for it is "partial 16S ribosomal RNA". The record is from RNAcentral.
CGUGAGUGAGAUGUGGGUUAAGCCCGCGCGCGCCAACCCUUCCUUUAGAGCCAUCAUUCAGGGGGCACUAAGAGACUGCCCCGGUGAUAAGCGAAGGGAAGGUGGGGACGUCUCAAGUCCUUGGCCCCUAUGUCCGGGGGUACACACGUGCUACAAUGGUCAGUACACAGUGGGGAGACAGGCUAAGAGGACAAGAUCUCUAAAA